GUAAUUGUAGUUUAACCAAAACAUUAGAUUGUGAUUCUAAAGAUAGGGGUUAAAACCCCUUUAUUUACC
RNAcentral lists this transfer RNA (69 nucleotides) under Monacoa griseus. Its description in RNAcentral is "Monacoa sp. JYP-2016a tRNA-His". It matches the Rfam family "tRNA". From Rfam's summary of the family: Transfer RNA (tRNA) molecules are approximately 80 nucleotides in length. Their secondary structure includes four short double-helical elements and three loops (D, anti-codon, and T loops). Lineage: Eukaryota; Metazoa; Chordata; Actinopteri; Argentiniformes; Opisthoproctidae. The record is from RNAcentral.